Molecule: long non-coding RNA, 605 nt
Filed under: Mus spicilegus (steppe mouse)
Lineage: Eukaryota; Metazoa; Chordata; Mammalia; Rodentia; Muridae
Description: lncRNA (ENSMSIG00000031918.1)
Source: RNAcentral
CAGCAGUGGGCAGCUCAUUGACCACAGAUCCACGAGGAAGUAACAGAGAGAGCUUUGACUUGACCAACUGCACACCCAAACCAGGACAACUAGGAACCAGCUGCGUGUUCAUCAUCCCCAUGCAGCCAACUCUCGGAUCCAGCUUCAGAACCUGUCACCGAAGAAGGCCUUGCUGGUCCAGGUCAAUCUCCACAAUGUAUCUUCUGUUCUCUACAAAGACAGGCUCCAGGCUGUCAUUUUUGACUACAGCCAGAAGAGGCUGGAAACAGGACCCAGGGUUCCAGAGCUCCAGACGAGUGCCUCACAGAGCUACCUCUCUGAGCCCCCAGCCUGGGCUGGGCAGGGGAGGUUAAGGCUGGAGCUGCCUUGGCAGUUAGUGUUGGUCUUGCAGUUUCCAAAGGCCUUAGGAGUUCCUGGAGCAAAUGUUUCCUCUCCUAAGAACACUGUAGCAGAUUAAGGAAGGGGCGUGUCCCCACAGUAGCAUUAAAGAGCAGCAUCCAUUACCAAUGGUGGUCUAGCCUGGUAGCUAGAAUAACUCUCCUAGAGUUGAGCCUGUGUGAGGAUCUGGCUCUCCCAGCCCUGCUGGCCACAAGCUUGGCCAGGUU